Molecule: non-coding RNA, 334 nt
Organism: Meleagris gallopavo (turkey)
Lineage: Eukaryota; Metazoa; Chordata; Aves; Galliformes; Phasianidae
Source: RefSeq, a predicted model, not a curated record
AAUAUUUAUUACUGAAGAGAAUUGAAGAGAAUACACACGCACCCUGCACCUUUAUCUGCACAAAGAAUCUUCUGAACAUCUCUGCACGUGUUUCUUUUUGGCACUGAGAUGAAGCUGUGUGGAAUAUAGGCUUGGAUGAAUUUUCCAUCAAGUGCAGGACAUGUAGUGCUCAUCUGAGAUGUCCUGCUGACAAGAACAGCAGAGUGUCAUACCCACGGAACCACAGAAGCGUUACCCAGACAAAAUGAGCAUUUGUCGCCUGGACUUCCUACAAAUGACAGAGGCGGUAGGAAUCAGCAUCCGAAGCAUCCGUAAGACCCCUGCAAAGGAAUGG